UUCCYGGGUUCGUUSUWAAUUAGAGUUUUAUCUUGGGUUCAAGACGAAARCUGAUGGUGYGCUUAACACAUGCAAGUSGAGCGGAAAGGCCACUUCGGKGGUACUCGAGSGGYGAWCGGGUGAUAACWCGYGAGUAAUMUGCCCUUGGYUUUGGGAUAGCCACCGGAAACGGUGAUUAAUACCGGAUACGACCACUCCUGGCAUCAGGUGGKGGUGGAAAGUUUUUCGRCCAGGGAUGUGCUCKCGGCCUAUMAGCUUGAUGGUGAGGUAAUGGCUCMCCAUGGYUUMGACGGGUAGCCGGCCUGAGAGGGUGACCGGUCACACKGGGAMUGAGACACGGCCCAGACUCCUACGGGAGGCAGCAGUGGGGAAUAUURGACAAUGGGCGGAAGCCUGAUCCAGCAACGCCGSGUGAGGGAUGACGGCCUUCGGGUUGUAAACCUCUUUCAGCAGGGACGAAGSGCAAGUGWCGGUACCUGCAGAAGAAGCACCGGCCAAYUACGUGCCAGCAGCCGCGGUAAUACGUAGGGUGCGAGCGUUGUCCGGAAUUAUUGGGCGUAAAGGGCUCGUAGGCGGUUUGUCGCGUCGGGAGUGAAAACCAGGUGCUUAACACCUGGCUUGCUUUCGAUACGGGCARACUAGAGGUAUUCAGGGGAGAACGGAAUUCCUGGUGUAGCGSUGAAAUGCGCAGAUAUCAGGAGGAACACCGGUGGCGAAGGCSSUUCUCUGGGAAUAUCCUGACGC
RNAcentral lists this ribosomal RNA (744 nucleotides) under Nocardioides sp. UAPS0134. Its description in RNAcentral is "partial 16S ribosomal RNA". It matches the Rfam family "Bacterial small subunit ribosomal RNA", at positions 1 to 746 of the family's 1533-position model. Lineage: Bacteria; Bacillati; Actinomycetota; Actinomycetes; Propionibacteriales; Nocardioidaceae. The record is from RNAcentral.